AUUGAACGCUGGCGGCAGGCCUAACACAUGCAAGUCGAGCGGAUGAAGGGAGCUUGCUCCUGGAUUCAGCGGCGGACGGGUGAGUAAUGCCUAGGAAUCUGCCUGCUCUGGGGGGAUAACGUCCGGAAACGGGCGCUAAUACCGCAUCCGUCCUGAGGGAGAAAGUGGGGGUUCUUCGGACCUCACGCUAUCAGAUGAGCCUAGGUCGGAUUAGCUAGUUGGUGGGGUAAAGGCCUACCAAGGCGACGAUCCGUAACUGGUCUGAGAGGAUGAUCAGUCACACUGGAACUGAGACACGGUCCAGACUCCUACGGGAGGCAGCAGUGGGGAAUAUUGGACAAUGGGCGAAAGCCUGAUCCAGCCAUGCCGCGUGUGUGAAGAGGGUCUUCGGAUUGUAAAGCACUUUAAGUUGGGAGGAAGGGCAGUAAGUUAAUACCUUGCUGUUUUGACGUUACCAACAGAAUAAGCACCGGCUAACUUCGUG
Molecule: ribosomal RNA, 484 nt
Filed under: uncultured bacterium
Lineage: Bacteria
Description: partial 16S ribosomal RNA
Rfam family: Bacterial small subunit ribosomal RNA
Source: RNAcentral